CAAAGCGAACCGGGGAAACUGAAACAUCUCAGUACCCCGAGGAAAAGAAAUCAACCGAGAUUCCCCCAGUAGCGGCGAGCGAACAGGGAGCAGCCCAGAGUCAGCAUCAAUAUUUACCGCAGGAGAAGGAUCUGGAAAGGCCGGCAAUAAAGGGUGAUAGCCCCGUAUCUGAAGCGGUAAGUGUUGUGAACUCGAAGAGUAGGGCGGGACACGUGUUAUCCUGUCUGAAUAUGGGGGGACCAUCCUCCAAGGCUAAAUACUCCUGACUGACCAAUAGUGAACCAGUACCGUGAGGGAAAGGCGAAAAGAACCCCGGCAAGGGGAGUGAAAUAGAACCUGAAACCGUGUACGUACAAGCAGUGGGAGCACCCGAAAGGGUGUGACUGCGUACCUUUUGUAUAAUGGGUCAGCGACUUAUAUUCUGUAGCAAGGUUAACCGCAUAGGGGAGCCGUAGGGAAACCGAGUCUUAACUGGGCGUUAAGUUGCAGGGUAUAGACCCGAAACCCGGUGAUCUAGCCAUGGGCAGGUUGAAA
Molecule: ribosomal RNA, 534 nt
Filed under: Arsenophonus endosymbiont of Bemisia tabaci
Lineage: Bacteria; Pseudomonadati; Pseudomonadota; Gammaproteobacteria; Enterobacterales; Morganellaceae
Description: partial 23S ribosomal RNA
Rfam family: Bacterial large subunit ribosomal RNA
Source: RNAcentral